UGGGGAAUUUUGGACAAUGGGCGCAAGCCUGAUCCAGCCAUUCCGCGUGCAGGACGAAGGCCUUCGGGUUGUAAACUGCUUUUGUACGGAACGAAAAGGCUCUGGCUAAUACCUGGGGCUCAUGACGGUACCGUAAGAAUAAGCACCGGCUAACUACGUGCCAGCAGCCGCGGUAAUACGUAGGGUGCAAGCGUUAAUCGGAAUUACUGGGCGUAAAGCGCGCGCAGGCGGUCUGGUCAGUCGAUGGUGAAAGCCCCACGCUCAACGUGGGAAGGUCCGUCGAGACGGCCAGACUGGAGGCAGGGAGAGGUCGGUGGAAUUCCGGGUGUAGUGGUGAAAUGCGUAGAGAUCCGGAGGAACACCAGAGGCGAAGGCGGCCGACUGGACCUGACCUGACGCUGAGGCGCGAAGGCGUGGGGAGCGAACG
RNAcentral lists this ribosomal RNA (427 nucleotides) under uncultured bacterium. Its description in RNAcentral is "bacterial SSU rRNA". It matches the Rfam family "Bacterial small subunit ribosomal RNA", at positions 355 to 774 of the family's 1533-position model. The record is from RNAcentral.